This 301-nucleotide ribosomal RNA is filed under the name uncultured bacterium. RNAcentral describes it as "partial 16S ribosomal RNA". It matches the Rfam family "Bacterial small subunit ribosomal RNA", at positions 509 to 809 of the family's 1533-position model. The record is from RNAcentral.
CAGCAGCCACGGGAAUACGUAGGGUGCAAGCGUUAAUCGGAUUUACUGGGCGUAAAGCGUGCGUAGGCGGCUUCUUAAGUCGGAUGUGAAAUCCCUGAGCUUAACUUAGGAAUUGCAUUCGAUACUGGGAAGCUAGAGUAUGGGAGAGGAUGGUAGAAUUCCAGGUGUAGCGGUGAAAUGCGUAGAGAUCUGGAGGAAUACCGAUGGCGAAGGCAGCCAUCUGGCCUAAUACUGACGCUGAGGUACGAAAGCAUGGGGAGCAAACAGGAUUAGAUACCCCGGUAGUCCUGUCUCUUAUACA